RNAcentral lists this ribosomal RNA (492 nucleotides) under uncultured bacterium. RNAcentral's name for it is "partial 16S ribosomal RNA". It matches the Rfam family "Bacterial small subunit ribosomal RNA", at positions 29 to 506 of the family's 1533-position model. The record is from RNAcentral.
AGUGAACGCUGGCGGUAGGCCUAACACAUGCAAGUCGAACGGCAGCACAGUAAGAGCUUGCUCUUACGGGUGGCGAGUGGCGGACGGGUGAGGAAUACAUCGGAAUCUACUUUUUCGUGGGGGAUAACGUAGGGAAACUUACGCUAAUACCGCAUACGACCUACGGGUGAAAGCAGGGGAUCUUCGGACCUUGCGCGAUUGAAUGAGCCGAUGUCGGAUUAGCUAGUUGGCGGGGUAAAGGCCCACCAAGGCGACGAUCCGUAGCUGGUCUGAGAGGAUGGAUCGGCCCACCUGGACCUGAGAAACGGUCCAGACCCCGAGGGGAGGCCGCAGGGGGGAAUAUGGGAAAAUGGGGGAAAGCCUGACCCAGCCAUACCGGGGGGGUGAAGAAGGCCUUCGGGUUGUAAAGCCCUUUUGUUGGGAAAAAAAAGCAGCAGGUUAAUACCCCGCUGUUCUGACGGUACCAAAAGAAUAAGCACCGGCUAACUUCGU